RNAcentral lists this ribosomal RNA (467 nucleotides) under uncultured bacterium. RNAcentral's name for it is "partial 16S ribosomal RNA". It matches the Rfam family "Bacterial small subunit ribosomal RNA", at positions 28 to 507 of the family's 1533-position model. The record is from RNAcentral.
GACGAACGCUGGCGGCGUGCUUAACACAUGCAAGUCGAACGGAAAGGCCCUGCUUUUGUGGGGUGCUCGAGUGGCGAACGGGUGAGUAACACGUGAGUAACCUGCCCUUGACUUUGGGAUAACUUCAGGAAACUGGGGCUAAUACCGGAUAGGAGCUCCUGCUGCAUGGUGGGGGUGGAAAGUUUCGGCGGUUGGGGAUGGACUCGCGGCUUAUCAGCUUGUUGGUGGGGUAGUGGCUUACCAAGGCUUUGACGGGUAGCCGGCCUGAGAGGGUGACCGGCCACAUUGGGACUGAGAUACGGCCCAGACUCCUACGGGAGGCGGCAGUGGGGAAUAUUGCACAAUGGGCGGAAGCCUGAUGCAGCAACGCCGCGUGCGGGAUGACGGCCUUCGGGUUGUAAACCGCUUUCGCCUGUGACGAAGCGUGAGUGACGGUAAUGGGUAAAGAAGCACCGGCUAACUACGUG